This 29-nucleotide non-coding RNA is filed under the name Mus musculus (house mouse). Lineage: Eukaryota; Metazoa; Chordata; Mammalia; Rodentia; Muridae. The record is from RNAcentral.
UUUUCUACAUGGCCGGACUACGUUGAGGU